GGAUGAACGCUAGCGGCAGGCCUAACACAUGCAAGUCGAGGGGCAGCAUGGCGUAGNGAUACGCUGAUGGCGACCGGCGCACGGGUGCGUAACGCGUAUGCAACCUGUCCGGCGCAGGGGGGUAGCCCGUCGAAAGGCGGGGUAAUCCCGCAUGAACCGGUAUUCCCGCAUGGGGGUGCCGGCAAAGUGGAGACGCGGGGCCGGAGGGGCAUGCGUGCCAUUAGCUGGCUGGUGGGGUAACGGCCCACCAGGGCGAUGAUGGCUAGGGGGUCUGAGAGGAUGGUCCCCCACACUGGUACUGAGACACGGACCAGACUCCUACGGGAGGCAGCAGUGAGGAAUAUUGGUCAAUGGGCGGAAGCCUGAACCAGCCAUGCCGCGUGCAGGAAGGAGGCCCUACGGGUUGUAAACUGCUUUUACCCGGGAAGAAACCGCCCCCUGUGGGGGGCGUUGCCGGUACCGGGGGAAAAAGGAUCGGCUAACUCCGUGCCAGCAGCCGCGGUAAUACGGAGGAUCNNNGGCGUUAUCCGGAAUUACUGGGUUUAAAGGGUGCGUAGGCGGGGCUUUAAGCCGGCGGUGAAAUGCAGCGGCUCAACCGCUGGAAUGCCGUUGGGACUGGGGCUCUUGGAUACGGUCGGGGCGGGUGGAACUCGUGGUGUAGCGGUGAAAUGCAUAGAUAUCACGAGGAACGCCGGUAGCGAAGGCAGCUCGCCGGGCCGGUAUUGACGCUGAGGCACGAAAGCGUGGGGAUCGAACAGGAUUAGAUACCCUGGUAGUCCACGCCGUAAACGAUGAUGGCUGGGUGUUGGCGAUAGACGGUCAGCGCCUGAGGGAAACCAUUAAGCCAUCCACCUGGGGAGUACGGCCGCAAGGCUGAAACUCAAAGGAAUUGACGGGGGCCCGCACAAGCGGAGGAACAUGUGGUUUAAUUCGAUGGUACGCGAGGAACCUUACCUGGGCUAGAACGCUUCUGGGAUGCUGCGGAAACGUAGCAGCCGGCAACGGCCGGGAGCGAGGUGCUGCAUGGUUGUCGUCAGCUCGUGCCGUGAGGUGUCGGGUUAAGUCCCAUAACGAGCGCAACCCCUACGUCCAGUUGCCGGCGGGUAGAGCCGGGGACUNUGGAUGGACAGCCGGCGUAAGCCGCGAGGAGGGGGGGGAUGACGUCAAAUCAGCACGGCCCUUACGUCCAGGGCUACACACGUGUUACAAUGGCCGGUACAGCGGGAGGCGACCCCGGGAGGGGGAGCGGAUCCCGAAAGCCGGUCGUAGUUCGGAUCGGAGUCUGGAACCCGACUCCGUGAAGCUGGAUUCGCUAGUAAUCGCGCAUCAGCCACGGCGCGGUGAAUACGUUCCCGGGCCU
RNAcentral lists this ribosomal RNA (1360 nucleotides) under uncultured bacterium. Its description in RNAcentral is "bacterial SSU rRNA". It matches the Rfam family "Bacterial small subunit ribosomal RNA", at positions 27 to 1381 of the family's 1533-position model. The record is from RNAcentral.